Molecule: ribosomal RNA, 206 nt
Filed under: uncultured bacterium
Lineage: Bacteria
Description: partial 16S ribosomal RNA
Rfam family: Bacterial small subunit ribosomal RNA
Source: RNAcentral
AUCGCAGACGGUUGAUUAAGUCUGAUGUGAAAGCCCGGAGCUCAACUCCGGAAUGGCAUUGGAAACUGGUUAACUUGAGUGCAGUAGAGGUAAGUGGAACUCCAUGUGUAGCGGUGGAAUGCGUAGAUAUAUGGAAGAACACCAGUGGCGAAGGCGGCUUACUGGACUGUAACUGACGUUGAGGCUCGAAAGUGUGGUAGCAAACA